AGCGAACGCUGGCGGCAGGCCUAACACAUGCAAGUCGAACGGAUCCUUCGGGACUAGUGGCGGACGGGUGAGUAACACGUGGGAACGUGCCCUUUGGUUCGGAACAACUCAGGGAAACUUGAGCUCAUACCGGAUGUGCCCUUCGGGGGAAAGAUUUAUCGCCAUUGGAGCGGCCCGCGUCUGAUUAGCUAGUUGGUGAGGUAAAGGCUCACCAAGGCGACGAUCAGUAGCUGGUCUGAGAGGAUGAUCAGCCACAUUGGGACUGAGACACGGCCCAAACUCCUACGGGAGGCAGCAGUGGGGAAUCUUGCGCAAUGGGCGAAAGCCUGACGCAGCCAUGCCGCGUGAAUGAUGAAGGUCUUAGGAUUGUAAAAUUCUUUCACCGGGGACGAUAAUGACGGUACCCGGAGAAGAAGCCCCGGCUAACUUCGUGCCAGCAGCCGCCGUAA
Molecule: ribosomal RNA, 449 nt
Filed under: uncultured bacterium
Lineage: Bacteria
Description: partial 16S ribosomal RNA
Rfam family: Bacterial small subunit ribosomal RNA
Source: RNAcentral